This 404-nucleotide ribosomal RNA is filed under the name uncultured bacterium. Its description in RNAcentral is "bacterial SSU rRNA". It matches the Rfam family "Bacterial small subunit ribosomal RNA", at positions 355 to 775 of the family's 1533-position model. The record is from RNAcentral.
UGAGGAAUAUUGCACAAUGGGCGCAAGCCUGAUGCAGCAACGCCGCGUGAGGGACGAAGGCCUUCGGGCUGUAAACCUCUUUUCUGAGGGACGAGGAAGGACGGUACCUCAGGAAUAAGUCUCGGCUAACUACGUGCCAGCAGCCGCGGUAAAACGUAGGAGGCGAGCGUUAUCCGGAUUUACUGGGCGUAAGGCGCGCGCAGGUGGCUUCGUGAGUCGGACAUGAAAGCUCCUGGCUUAACUGGGAGAGGCUGUUCGAUACUGCGGGGCUUGAGGUUGGGAGAGGGACGCGGAAUUCCCGGUGUAGUGGUGGAAUGCGUAGAUAUCGGGAGGAACACCAGUGGCGCAAGCGGCGUCCUGGCCCACACCUGACGCUGAGGGGCGAAAGCGUGGGUAGCAAACAG